CGGCACGAAUCCAGAGGAAAGGAUAAAAGGUAGAUAGAGUCCACUUGUGCUUUACUGGGUAUUAGUAAUAUCCGAAAAGCAAGCCAAAUUUUGGAAUUUUUUGGCGUUUUAGCGUUAAAUUCAUUCAAUCCUUUUCAAGGUUUUUCUAGCAUUUAUUCCCACUUUGAUUAUGCAAUAAUUCCUCAAAUCUGCAAAUUUAAGCCACAAAGCUUUCUUGGUUCACAGCUUCAAAAAGCACAAUCUUUCUGUGGU
RNAcentral lists this unclassified non-coding RNA (252 nucleotides) under Hevea brasiliensis (rubber tree). Lineage: Eukaryota; Viridiplantae; Streptophyta; Magnoliopsida; Malpighiales; Euphorbiaceae. The record is from RNAcentral.